ACUAGGGAUUUGAAAAUCCAUGGAGAUGGAAACCUAUGCCGAGGUUAGAAGACCUGGAUCCACUUUGCAGGAUUUUAAAUAUCCUUCAAGCCUCAGUGCCUGGCAGACUGGACUUUGGACUUCGGACUUCCAGCUCCGAUGCUGAAAAAGGAGGGUUUUUUUGUUUGUUUGUUUUUCCACUUUGCUUCCUUGCUUGUCGAGGCUGAGAACAUACGGUGUUUUUGAGGGCCACCAUCAAAGGGUACUCGCUUCUCCAAACCUUGGAACCCGAGGUCUAGCCUUGGAAAGAGUUGCCGCCUUACCAUCUCUCCUCGCCUAGGGAAGCCCCAGCUGUGUGCGCUACUGCAGGGUCACAGUGCCGCGGUGCCGAGCUUCUUUCGUGGUCCCUGUCGCCGUCCGUUUCUUGAGAUUUCAGACUCUGGGCUUGGAAACCAGUUGACUGCCUUUCUUAGCGAGGUGCCCUCGGAAACCUGUGGAGGAAUGUUUGGAUUAUGAAUGCUCACCGUGCCGAGGUUUUGAGACUACUGUAAGACAGAUGAGAAAACCUGAGGUUUGUAUUGCUUUCCCUCCUCCUUGCUUUGACCAAACUCUGCUGAACAAGGAUUCUCUACCAAA
Long non-coding RNA from Mus musculus (house mouse), 615 nucleotides. RefSeq annotates it as RIKEN cDNA 2810030D12 gene. The record is from RefSeq and is marked validated. NCBI's taxonomy places the organism in Eukaryota, Metazoa, Chordata, Mammalia, Rodentia, Muridae. The transcript has 2 exons.